AUUAAACUUAAAAAUGUCAAAUCAUAACUUUCAUAAGAUUAACAAAGUACAGUACUGAGAAUCGUCUUAAUGUUGUAUUUUUCAUAGAGUGAGUCUGUUCUUAUUAUGUUACAUUUGAUUUUAACCGUGAAAUAGCUGAUUUACCGGACAAACAGUUGAAUAAUUUGAAUUUGAUUCCUGAUUGCAUACCGAAUCUAAAGCAACCAACACAGUUAUUUUUAUGGUUUUCGACGUUGGAAGUCCUGGGCUUUAAGUCAUCAGAUUCCAGAAUGCGACAUUUUACCACCAUCACACUAUACGGACUUCAUAUACAGGAGUGUACUCCUUACGAAGAAUCUGCUCCAACAGAGUUAUGAGGAGGAAUUGGUUGAUUUAUACGAUGUGUAUGUGUCUAAACUAACUAACGACGUUUUUACCACGUCUUAGAUUGUGGUUUACCAUCUACAUCGUCUGUCUGUUAAGUACCGAACGUGAUGACUGUUAUGUACAAGACGCAACAGUUUAUUUCUUUAAAUUUGAAAUUUAAUAGACAGUAAUAACAGAACAUUCAGAUGUUUACUCUGAAAUACACUAGUUAAUCCAACUGUAAAAAAUACUGCCAUCUCUUUAAAUACAGAAUUGACAAAUA
Molecule: long non-coding RNA, 628 nt
Organism: Mytilus californianus (California mussel)
Lineage: Eukaryota; Metazoa; Mollusca; Bivalvia; Mytilida; Mytilidae
Exons: 2
Source: RefSeq, a predicted model, not a curated record